RNAcentral lists this ribosomal RNA (496 nucleotides) under uncultured bacterium. RNAcentral describes it as "partial 16S ribosomal RNA". It matches the Rfam family "Bacterial small subunit ribosomal RNA", at positions 28 to 507 of the family's 1533-position model. The record is from RNAcentral.
GAUGAACGCUGGCGGCGUGCCUAAUACAUGCAAGUCGAGCGAACAGACGAGGAGCUUGCUCCUCUGACGUUAGCGGCGGACGGGUGAGUAACACGUGGAUAACCUACCUAUAAGACUGGGAUAACUUCGGGAAACCGGAGCUAAUACCGGAUAAUAUAUUGAACCGCAUGGUUCAAUAGUGAAAGACGGUUUUGCUGUCACUUAUAGAUGGAUCCGCGCCGCAUUAGCUAGUUGGUAAGGUAACGGCUUACCAAGGCAACGAUGCGUAGCCGACCUGAGAGGGUGAUCGGCCACACUGGAACUGAGACACGGUCCAGACUCCUACGGGAGGCAGCAGUAGGGAAUCUUCCGCAGUGGGCGAAAGCCUGACGGAGCAACGCCCGUGAGUGAUGAAGGUCUUCGGAUCGUAAAACUCUGUUAUUAGGGAAGAACAAAUGUGUAAGUAACUAUGCACGUCUUGACGGUACCUAAUCAGAAAGCCACGGCUAACUACGUG